AUGAGAGUUUGAUCCUGGCUCAGAACGAACGCUGGCGGCAGGCUUUACACAUGCAAGUCGAACGGUAACGGGUGUAGCAAUACAUGCCGACGAGUGGCGCACGGGUGAGUAACGCGUGGGAAUUUGCCUUGGAGUGGGGAAUAACAGUUGGAAACGACUGCUAAUACCGCAUACGCCCUACGGGGGAAAGAUUUAUCGCUCCAAGAUAAGCCCGCGUCUGAUUAGGCAGUUGGUGGGGUAAUGGCCUACCAAACCGAUGAUCAGUAGCUGGUCUGAGAGGACGAGCAGCCACACUGGGACUGAGACACGGCCCAGACUCCUACGGGAGGCAGCAGUGGGGAAUAUUGGGCAAUGGGCGCAAGCCUGACCCAGCCAUGCCGCGUGAGUGAUGAAGGCCUUCGGGUUGUAAAGCUCUUUUGUCCGGGACGAUAAUGACGGUACCGGAAGAAUAAGCACCGGCUAACUUCGUGCCAGCAGCCGCGGUAAUACGAAGGGUGCUAGCGUUGUUCGGAAUUACUGGGCGUAAAGCGCGCGUAGGCGGCUUUGCAAGUUAGGGGUGAAAUGCCUGGGCUCAACCCAGGAAUUGCCUUUGAUACUGCAAGGCUAGAGGAUGUGAGAGGAUAGCGGAAUAUCCAGUGGAGAGGUGAAAUUCGUAGAUAUUGGAUAGAACACCGGUGGCGAAGGCGGCUAUCUGGCGCAUUUCUGACGCUUAGGUGCGAAAGCGUGGGGAUCAAACAGGAUUAGAUACCCUGGUAGUCCACGCCCUAAACGAUGGGUACUUGGUGUUGGGCAGCUUGCUGCUCAGUGCCGGAGCUAACGCGUUAAGUACCCCGCCUGGGGAGUACGGUCGCAAGAUUAAAACUCAAAGGAAUUGACGGGGGCCCGCACAAGCGGUGGAGCAUGUUGUUUAAUUCGUCGCAACGCGCAGAACCUUACCAACUCUUGACAUAUGCACUGCGAUUGGCAGAGAUGCCUUUCUCAUUUAGUUGGGUGCAUACAGGUGUUGCAUGGCUGUCGUCAGCUCGUGUCGUGAGAUGUUGGGUUAAGUCCCGCAACGAGCGCAACCCUCAUCAUCAGUUGCCAGCAUUUAGUUGGGUACUCUGGUGAAACUGCCAUCGACAAGAUGGAGGAAGGUGGGGAUGACGUCAAGUCCUCAUGGCCCUUACGAGUUGGGCUACAAACGUGCUACAAUGGCGACCACAAUGGGCAGCAAUCCCGCGAGGGUGAGCUAAUCUCUAAAAGUCGUCUCAGUUCGGAUCGGACUCUGCAACUCGAGUCCGUGAAGUUGGAAUCGCUAGUAAUCGUAGAUCAGCACGCUACGGUGAAUACGUUCCCGGGCCUUGUACACACCGCCCGUCACACCAUGGGAGCUGGUUUUACCUGAAGGCGUCGGCCUAACCGCAAGGAGGGCUGCGACCACGGUGGGGCUAGUGACUGGGGUGAAGUCGUAACAAGGUAGCCGUAGGAGAACCUGCGGCUGGAUCACCUCCUUU
RNAcentral lists this ribosomal RNA (1493 nucleotides) under Alphaproteobacteria bacterium. RNAcentral describes it as "bacterial SSU rRNA". It matches the Rfam family "Bacterial small subunit ribosomal RNA". Lineage: Bacteria; Pseudomonadati; Pseudomonadota; Alphaproteobacteria. The record is from RNAcentral.